GAUGAAGAACGUAGCGAAAUGCGAUAAGUAAUGUGAAUUGCAGAAUUCAGUGAAUCAUCGAAUCUUUGAACGCACAUUGCGCCCUUUGGUAUUCCGAAGGGCAUGCCUGUUCGAGCGUCAUUUCACCACUCAAGCCUGGCUUGGUAUUGGGCGCCGCGGUCGAUCCGCGCGCCUCAAAGUCUCCGGCUGAGCUGUCCGUCUCUAAGCGUUGUGAUUUCAUUAAUCGCUUCGGAGUGCGGACGGCCGCGGCCGUUAAAUCUUUCACAAGGUUGACCUCGGAUCAGGUAGGGAUACCCGCUGAACUUAAGCAUAUCAAUAAGCGGAGGA
RNAcentral lists this unclassified non-coding RNA (327 nucleotides) under soil metagenome. RNAcentral's name for it is "partial contains 5.8S ribosomal RNA, internal transcribed spacer 2, and large subunit ribosomal RNA". The stretch from base 1 to 120 matches the Rfam family "5.8S ribosomal RNA", at positions 35 to 154 of the family's 154-position model. The record is from RNAcentral.